Non-coding RNA from Peromyscus maniculatus bairdii (prairie deer mouse), 612 nucleotides. NCBI's taxonomy places the organism in Eukaryota, Metazoa, Chordata, Mammalia, Rodentia, Cricetidae. The record is from RefSeq and is a predicted model, not a curated record.
CCUAGACCCAGGAGUGUGUGACAAGCCUUGGUCAACACCUGAGACCCUGUCUCCAAAAGCAGUAAGAGGCAGAGGGAAGGCAAUGCUCUGUCGCCUGCCUCCUGCCGUGUUAAGUGCAAUGACUCAAUGACUGAACCUACCUUAAAGAAGCAACACAAGUCAUACAGAGAACUUCUCGGACCCAGGAAGCCCCAGGCUAAGACAGGGCUUAUGUGCUCGCAAAUGGCAUAAAAAUGGGCGAAGAAUCCGUCUGAGAUCUGUUGGGAAGCAAAAGGGAAUCAGAGAUGAAGACAUUGAGGUGUCAAGAUGAAGCAGCUGGCCAAGGUCACAUUGUUAGUGACAUUUCAACCCAGGCCACUGCACUUCAGAGUCAACACACUUUACCACCAGCAGGGCGCAGUGAGAGCAGUGCUUUGUGGGCCUGCUUGUUCUGCGGGUGCUGGCGCAGCACAAAGCCUCUUGGACUCCGUGGCCUUCACUGCGGUCUGGAUCCGCCCCCCUCCUUACACAUUCUCCAGUCUCAGUUCAGAGCAACAGAACAUGCACUAAGGCAGGGGUCCAGGGCGUGGUGUGCUUACCGUCAUCUGCUGCCUCUUCUGCUUCAGCACUGAC